UGGGGAAUAUUGGACAAUGGGCGCAAGCCUGAUCCAGCCAUGCCGCGUGAGUGACGAAGGCCUUAGGGUUGUAAAGCUCUUUUGGCGGGGAAGAUAAUGACGGUACCCGCAGAAUAAGCUCCGGCUAACUUCGUGCCAGCAGCCGCGGUAAUACGAAGGGAGCUAGCGUUGUUCGGAAUCACUGGGCGUAAAGCGCACGUAGGUGGGCAGUUAAGUCAGGGGUGAAAGCCCGAGGCUCAACCUCGGAAUUGCCUCUGAUACUGGCUGUCUAGAGUUCGAGAGAGGUGAGUGGAAUUCCUAGUGUAGAGGUGAAAUUCGUAGAUAUUAGGAAGAACACCGGUGGCGAAGGCGGCUCACUGGCUCGAUACUGACGCUGAGGUGCGAAAGCGUGGGGAGCAAACAGGAUUAGAUACCCACGUAGUCCCUGAGCGGGCUGGCAAGGCGCAU
RNAcentral lists this ribosomal RNA (447 nucleotides) under uncultured bacterium. Its description in RNAcentral is "bacterial SSU rRNA". It matches the Rfam family "Bacterial small subunit ribosomal RNA", at positions 355 to 825 of the family's 1533-position model. The record is from RNAcentral.